CCGGAGGGACGGGAGCCGCGCGGGAGGCAGACGCAGGGCCGCGGGCUCCGGCCCCCCGCAG
RNAcentral lists this non-coding RNA (61 nucleotides) under Sus scrofa (pig). Lineage: Eukaryota; Metazoa; Chordata; Mammalia; Artiodactyla; Suidae. The record is from RNAcentral.